CCUACGGGUGGCAGCAGUGGGGGAUAUUGCACAAUGGGGGGAACCCUGAUGCAGCGACGCCGCGUGUGGGAAGACGGUCCUCUGGAUUGUAAACCACUGUCCCCAGGGACGAAAAUGACUGUACCUUGGGAGGAAGCUCCGGCUAACUCCGUGCCAGCAGCCCCGGUAAUACGUAGGGAGCGAGCGUUGUCCGUAAUUACUGUGUGUAAAGGGAGCGUAGGCGGGGAUGCAAGUUGAGUGUAAAAACUACCGGCUCAACUGGUAGUCGCACUCAAAACUGCAGCUCUUGAGUGAAGUAGAGGCAGGCGGAAUUCCUAGUGUAGCGGUGAAAUGCGUAGAUAUUAGGAGGAACACCAGUGGCGAAGGCGGCCUGCUGGGCUUUUACUGACGCUGAGGCUCGAAAGUGUGGGGAGCAAACAGGAUUAGAUACCCCGGUAGUC
RNAcentral lists this ribosomal RNA (440 nucleotides) under uncultured bacterium. RNAcentral describes it as "partial 16S ribosomal RNA". It matches the Rfam family "Bacterial small subunit ribosomal RNA", at positions 338 to 795 of the family's 1533-position model. The record is from RNAcentral.